Molecule: long non-coding RNA, 1196 nt
Filed under: Mytilus galloprovincialis (Mediterranean mussel)
Lineage: Eukaryota; Metazoa; Mollusca; Bivalvia; Mytilida; Mytilidae
Source: RNAcentral
CAUGACAAAAGUAACUUUUGUCCACUGAAAGAUAAUUUUGUAUGACAAAAUUUUAAAUUUGUAGUAUGCUACAAAUUUUGUUGAACUGAACUCAUUUUUGUUGAACAAAAGUCACUUUUGUCCGUACAGAAUUGAAGUUCGAGUACAAAACCACAAGAGUCCCAUUCGGCGCCUGUAGUAGCUCCCUAUACGACAAUACACCAUGAACGCUUGCACGAUGAUGGAGAUCUCAAAAUCGGACAGUACCUUGCAUCCUUUACAAGAUUUGAUUUUUUUAUUGCUCAUGUAGUUUCGGAGCACAUUUUAUAGAGUACGGUGUACCUGUACCUGUCGAAUUGUUGUGAGGUAUCGAAUGAGAUCCGUUGGAGGACUCAAAAGAAUGUAGAACUGUUGUAAAUUGUUACGAACUGAACCAUGCGAUGUAUCUGUUUGCAAAGAGAUAAACUAGUACCAAUCGGCUUAAUAUAUUUAUCCCAACCUGUUGAUAUCGAAGAAAAUAUGAUAAGGCGAUGUGGUCAACAGACUACUAGAUCCAACCACCUUGUUAACACGCCAAACAAUAUUGGAAAGUCUCAUUAUAUUUUGCGUUCAUAGACCACAUGAAGAUGGAACUGGAGUCGCGUCUGAUAUCACCAGAAAAUCGCUUUUUCGUGCAGUAUCUGCUUCCUCUUGUUGUUAGGAAUAUAACAAAGAACAAAGCGCAUUAUUGUUUGAGACAUACGAAACUGACUUGGAGUCGGUUUCACAAAAAAAACUUAUGAUUAUGAUUGAUCGUAAGCCAUGAACAAUUCAGUAUACUUAGGAUAAAUCUCAGUCGUAAGUUUUUUUGUGAAACCGAUUCCAGGUAUGUAAUUUAGACGAAGUUGAUCGAGAGGUCGCUCGAUGGCGAAAACACUGAUUUGUAACACCUCGAGAUCAGAUGCCAACUUCGCAGGCUGUGUGAGACACUCGAUGCGGUAAGUGCAGUGCUGUAUAUCCUUCUAUAGAUACUAUAUUGAGUAGUAUGUUGACAAUGCCGGUUACAAGUGCUACUGCUGAGAGAUCGUUUGUACUACGUCGGUUGAAAACAUGAUAUAUAAGAUCAACCAUGAAUAACGAUAGGUUAUCAUCGCUAGCAUUAAUGCGCAUUCAUCAAGAUUCCAGUAUGAAAAAUUGACAAACUAAUGGGGAAGUUCGUUUCUGCUAAGACCAGAAGA